RNAcentral lists this ribosomal RNA (466 nucleotides) under uncultured bacterium. Its description in RNAcentral is "partial 16S ribosomal RNA". It matches the Rfam family "Bacterial small subunit ribosomal RNA", at positions 28 to 506 of the family's 1533-position model. The record is from RNAcentral.
GAUGAACGCUGGCGGCGUGCUUAACACAUGCAAGUCGAACGGAAAGGCCUCUGCUUGCAGGGGUACUCGAGUGGCGAACGGGUGAGUAACACGUGGGUGAUCUGCCCUGCACUUCGGUAUAAGCCUGGGAAACUGGGUCUAAUACCGGAUAGGACAAUGGUUUGGAUGCUGUUGUGGAAAGUUUUUCGGUGUGGGAUGAGGUCGCGGCCUAUCAGCUUGUUGGUGGGGUAAUGGCCUACCAAGGCGUCGACGGGUAGCCGGCCUGAGAGGGUGCACGGCAACAGUGGGACUGGGACUGGGCCAAGACCCCGACGGGAGGGAGAGGCGGGGAAGAGGGAACAAUGGGAGCAAGCCUGAUGCAGAGACACCGCUGGCGGGAUGACGGCCAUCGGGUUGGAAUCGUCUUGCGCUAGUGACGAAGAUGUUUUUGGCAGUAACGUGGAGAUGAAGCACGGGUUAAUUACGG